ACAGAAGUACAUUUAGUACUUAAUCCUAACUUUUCCUCAAUAAUUACAAGGAAUUGCCAUUGAUCAAUAUUAAUACACGGUCGUUUUAUAUCAUUGAAAAAUCAGCUAAUUAAGUUUGACCCGUCUUAACCUGAAAUAACUCGAGACCAAACCUAAUCUUGUGUGUUUCUUUGUUGUAAACGAGACAAACCCUAGAAGAAAACUUACAUGAUGAAGAUUCUCAAUUUUCGUCAACAGCGGUGGAAUCAGAUGGAGAUUUAAGAACCGAAAGUCUAGAUCUUUGUUGAAGAAGGUGGUGAUCUGAUGAUAUCGUAAUCACAGAGUUUCCUUCUCCGUCGAUACCAUUCACUAAACGGUUUUACGUCUAGGAGAUUUGGAGGAGCAGGAACAUGUUCUCCCCGUAGGGACUGAAGUUUUUCGAGGUCUUCGACUCUUUUUAUGGAGCAACAUUUGUGCUACUGGUCUGUAACUUUACAAUCAGGAUUAUCAUUGAGAAUUUGUAUUUGAGCAGCUAUUCUUGAAAUAUAAGGAUCCUAUAUGAUUGCUGAACAUUUUUUUUUAUAAUUUGGGCUGUCAGGAUUCCAAUCAGGAUUUUUGUAAUUUAAAUAAAGAUUGGUGGAUAGGAAUUGACGCA
Long non-coding RNA from Brassica napus (rape), 634 nucleotides. RefSeq lists it as uncharacterized. The record is from RefSeq and is a predicted model, not a curated record. The transcript is spliced from 2 exons. NCBI's taxonomy places the organism in Eukaryota, Viridiplantae, Streptophyta, Magnoliopsida, Brassicales, Brassicaceae.